This 393-nucleotide ribosomal RNA is filed under the name uncultured bacterium. RNAcentral's name for it is "partial 16S ribosomal RNA". It matches the Rfam family "Bacterial small subunit ribosomal RNA", at positions 338 to 728 of the family's 1533-position model. The record is from RNAcentral.
CCUACGGGAGGCAGCAGUGAGGAAUAUUGGUCAAUGGACGCAAGUCUGAACCAGCCAUGCCGCGUGAAGGAUGACGGCCCUCUGAGUUGUAAACUGCUUUUGUACGGGGGUAAACCCAGUUACGUGUAUCGGGUUGAAUGUACCGUACGAAUAAGGAUCGGCUAACUCCGUGCCAGCAGCCGCGGUAAUACGGAGGAUCCGAUCGUUAUCAGGAUUUAUUUGGUGUAACGUGUGCGUAGGCGGUAUGAUAAGUUAGAGGUGAAAUGUCGGGGCUCAACGCUGAAACUGCCUUUGAUACUGGUAGACUAGAGAAUAGGAGCGGUAGGCGGAAUGUAAGGUGUAGGGGUGAAAUGCGUAGAGAUCAGACAGAACACCGAUUGCGAAGGCAGCUAA